CUCUUCAUCCCCAGUGAUCUGAAACCAAUGAUUUUGACUAUUUAAUCCUGUUCUUCAUCCCUCACUGAACUCCACCUGCCAUUCUAUCACUAUGGAAACCACUGAAUAACUCCAUUCCCUACUGCCUAUUCCUUUAUUCUCAUUCCCAUCAAUUCAACCUUCCAACAUAUUCCACUCUAAAUGUGCUCUCUGGAAUGCUUACUCCAUAGGUAAUAUUUGCAUAAGGAUAUGGACUGGACAUGAGAUUUCUCCCAGAUGAAGAAAUCCCUCCAGCAAUGCAGUUUGUUUAUGGCUGAUUAGUUUCAUGGCCCACAGCAUACUGCCUCAAAUUUGUGGAUUUGAAUCCUAUGUGGAAUCUUACAUGAAACAAAAUUUUGAUUAUGAUGCUCCAAAAAAUUGUUUGCCAGAAUUUUUCUGUCUAGCAAUGGAGGAAAAAGAGCAAUCAAGGCUUCAGCUGACAACCUGAAUGGGAGGUUUUUAGAAAGAUGAGGAUGCUGCUUGUUGAAAACCUGUGAACCUCUGCUCUUUUGGAGAAUGGCCUAGCUUUUGCUGAGAAGGUAAAAUCCCACAAAUUGAAGGACUUGGAAUAAAUGAUCUCUAAAAUCCUAUGACCUUAACA
Molecule: long non-coding RNA, 619 nt
Filed under: Monodelphis domestica (gray short-tailed opossum)
Lineage: Eukaryota; Metazoa; Chordata; Mammalia; Didelphimorphia; Didelphidae
Description: lncRNA (ENSMODG00000043936.1)
Source: RNAcentral